This 489-nucleotide ribosomal RNA is filed under the name uncultured bacterium. RNAcentral's name for it is "partial 16S ribosomal RNA". It matches the Rfam family "Bacterial small subunit ribosomal RNA", at positions 30 to 506 of the family's 1533-position model. The record is from RNAcentral.
AUUGAACGCUGGCGGCAGGCCUAACACAUGCCAGUCGAACGGUAACAGGAAACAGCUUGCUGUUUCGCUGACGAGUGGCGGACGGGUGAGUAAUGCCUGGGAAACUGCCUGAUGGAGGGGGAUAACUACUGGAAACGGUAGCUAAUACCGCAUAACGUCGCAAGACCAAAGAGGGGGACCUUCGGGCCUCUUGCCAUCGGAUGUGCCCAGAUGGGAUUAGCUAGUAGGUGGGGUAACGGCUCACCUAGGCGACGAUCCCUAGCUGGUCUGAGAGGAUGACAAGCCACACUGGAACUGAGACACGGUCCAGACUCCUACGGGAGGCAGCAGUGGGGAAUAUUGCACAAUGGGCGCAAGCCUGAUGCAGCCAUGCCGCGUGUAUGAAGAAGGCCUUCGGGUUGUAAAGUACUUUCAGCGGGGAUGAAGGGAGUAAAGUUAAUACCUUUGCUCAUUGACGUUACCCGCAGAAGAAGCACCGGCUAACUCCGU